GAUGAACGCUAGCUACAGGCUUAACACAUGCAAGUCGAGCGAGCGGCGGACGGGUGAGUAAUGUCUGGGAAACUGCCUGAUGGAGGGGGAUAACUACUGGAAACGGUAGCUAAUACCGCAUACCAUCAGAUGUGCCCAGAUGGGAUUAGCUGGUAGGUGGGGUAACGGCUCACCUAGGCGACGAUGCCUCGCUGGUCUGAGAGGAUGACCAGCCACACUGGAACUGAGACACGGUCCAGACUCCUACGGGAGGCAACAGUGGGGAAUAUUGCACAAUGGGCGCGAGCCUGAUGCAGCCAUGGCGCGUGUGUGAAGAAGGCCUUCGGGUUGUAAAGCACUUUCAGCGGGGAGGCGGAAAGCGAAGAAGAAGCACCGGCUAACUCCGUGCCAGCAGCCGCGGUAAGUG
This 406-nucleotide ribosomal RNA is filed under the name uncultured bacterium. RNAcentral's name for it is "partial 16S ribosomal RNA". It matches the Rfam family "Bacterial small subunit ribosomal RNA", at positions 28 to 526 of the family's 1533-position model. The record is from RNAcentral.